AUCCAUCUGACGAGUUCCAAAUAGGACGAAACGCGCAUCCUGGAU
Molecule: non-coding RNA, 45 nt
Organism: Schistosoma mansoni
Lineage: Eukaryota; Metazoa; Platyhelminthes; Trematoda; Strigeidida; Schistosomatidae
Source: Rfam